RNAcentral lists this transfer RNA (84 nucleotides) under Candidatus Woesebacteria bacterium. RNAcentral describes it as "tRNA-Leu". It matches the Rfam family "tRNA". Rfam says of the family: Transfer RNA (tRNA) molecules are approximately 80 nucleotides in length. Their secondary structure includes four short double-helical elements and three loops (D, anti-codon, and T loops). Lineage: Bacteria; Candidatus Woeseibacteriota. RNAcentral also lists the same sequence under 1 other name. The record is from RNAcentral.
GGUGCGGUGCUGAAAUUGGUAUACAGUCAGGUCUCAAAAACCUGUGGUAGCAAUACCGUGAGGGUUCGACCCCCUCCCGCACCA